UACGGGGGGGGCAAGCGUUGUUCGGAAUUACUGGGCGUAAAGGGCUCGUAGGUGGCCAACUAAGUCAUACGUGAAAUCCCUCGGCUUAACCGGGGAACUGCGCCUGAUACUGGUUGGCUUGAGUUUGGGAGAGGGACGCGGAAUUCCAGGUGUAGCGGUGAAAUGCGUAGAUAUCUGGAAGAACACCAGUGGCGAAGGCGGCGUCCUGGACCAAUACUGACACUGAGGAGCGAAAGCCAGGGGAGCAAACGGG
This 253-nucleotide ribosomal RNA is filed under the name uncultured bacterium. RNAcentral's name for it is "partial 16S ribosomal RNA". It matches the Rfam family "Bacterial small subunit ribosomal RNA", at positions 524 to 776 of the family's 1533-position model. The record is from RNAcentral.